Molecule: long non-coding RNA, 253 nt
Organism: Saccostrea echinata
Lineage: Eukaryota; Metazoa; Mollusca; Bivalvia; Ostreida; Ostreidae
Exons: 3
Source: RefSeq, a predicted model, not a curated record
UUGAUAUUUAAGUACAUUCAGAAUGGCAAAGAUUUUGUUUCUCUUGCUUUUGGCCAAUAUUUUAGCACUAUGCUAUAUGCAACUGAUUACCCCAAUGAUGGCGUGUGGAAUGAAGUGCCUUCAGGAUAAAAACGCUACAAGAGUUCUGUACGACAGUGAAGAGGCCAAGGAAUGCAGGGAAUACUGUCUGCAUCAUGCCUACGAUUUCUUACACCAACUUGGGUAAAAUUGCAGAGACGAUGUUCGAAUCGAC